AUUUGUAUAGUUUAAUUAAAACGUUACAUUUUCAUUGUAAAAAUAGAAGCCCUCUUUCAAAUA
This 63-nucleotide transfer RNA is filed under the name Tropiphorus elevatus. RNAcentral describes it as "tRNA-Glu". It matches the Rfam family "tRNA". Rfam says of the family: Transfer RNA (tRNA) molecules are approximately 80 nucleotides in length. Their secondary structure includes four short double-helical elements and three loops (D, anti-codon, and T loops). Lineage: Eukaryota; Metazoa; Arthropoda; Insecta; Coleoptera; Curculionidae. The record is from RNAcentral.